UCUUGCCCAGCAUAAGAGGUCCAGCCUGCCCAGUGACUCUGUUCAACGGCCGCGGUAUCCUAACCGUGCAAAGGUAGCGUAAUCACUUGUUCUUUAAAUAGGGACUAGUAUGAAAGGCACCACGAGGGCUAAACUGUCUCCUUUUUCUAAUCAGUGAAACUAAUCUCCCCGUGAAAAAACGGGGAUGUACUAAUAAGACGAGAAGACCCUAUGGAGCUUUAAAUUUUUCAUCACCUGCACCCGCUACUAAUAAAUCCAGAAGCCAAAUUCAAUAUGUGCACGAUAAUUAAAAAUUUUAGGUUGGGGCGACCGCGGAGAAAAACCUACCCUCCAUGUUGUAAGGGAUCUUCCCACCCUCUUAACAAAAAGCAACAGCUUUAUGUAUCAAUAAAAUUGACAUAAAUUGACCCAUUAUUUGAUCAACGAACCAAGUUACCCUAGGGAUAACAGCGCCAUCCACUUUGAGAGCUCCUAUCGACAAGUGGGCUUACGACCUCGAUGUUGGAUCAGGGUACCCAAGUGGUGCAGCCGCUA
This 534-nucleotide ribosomal RNA is filed under the name Lynchius waynehollomonae. RNAcentral's name for it is "Lynchius sp. n. AM-2021 partial large subunit ribosomal RNA". It matches the Rfam family "Bacterial large subunit ribosomal RNA", at positions 1834 to 2564 of the family's 2925-position model. Lineage: Eukaryota; Metazoa; Chordata; Amphibia; Anura; Strabomantidae. The record is from RNAcentral.